UACAGAGGUCCCAAGCGUUGUUCGGAUUCACUGGGCGUAAAGGGUGCGUAGGUGGUGGGGUAAGUCGGAUGUGAAAGCUCGGAGCUCAACUCCGAAAUGGCAUUGGAAACUACCUUGCUAGAGGUUUGGAGGGGGGACUGGAAUACUUGGUGUAGCAGUGAAAUGCGUAGAUAUCAAGUGGAACACCAGUGGCGAAGGCGAGUCCCUGGACAACACCUGACACUGAGGCACGAAAGCUAGGGGAGCAAACAGG
This 253-nucleotide ribosomal RNA is filed under the name uncultured bacterium. RNAcentral's name for it is "partial 16S ribosomal RNA". It matches the Rfam family "Bacterial small subunit ribosomal RNA", at positions 524 to 776 of the family's 1533-position model. The record is from RNAcentral.